AUGCUCACUUCGGCAGCACAGAUACUAAAAUCGGAAUGGUACAGAGUUAGCGCGGCCCCUGUGCAAGGUUGACACAAAAAUUUGUGAAGCCUUCCCCCCAAAA
This is a small nuclear RNA of Peromyscus californicus insignis, 103 nucleotides long. Lineage: Eukaryota; Metazoa; Chordata; Mammalia; Rodentia; Cricetidae. The record is from RefSeq and is a predicted model, not a curated record.